AUACGGAGGGUGCAAGCGUUAAUCGGAAUUACUGGGCGUAAAGAGUACGUAGGCGGCCUAUUAAGUCAGAUGUGAAAGCCCAGGGCUCAACCUUGGAACUGCAUUUGAAACUGGUAGGCUAGAGUAUGGUAGAGGGGGGUAGAAUUUCUGGUGUAGCGGUGAAAUGCGUAGAUAUCAGAAGGAAUACCAGUGGCGAAGGCGGCCCCCUGGCCCAAUACUGACGCUGAGGUACGAAAGCGUGGGGAGCGAACGGGAUUAGAAACCCCGGUAGUCC
Molecule: ribosomal RNA, 274 nt
Filed under: uncultured bacterium
Lineage: Bacteria
Description: partial 16S ribosomal RNA
Rfam family: Bacterial small subunit ribosomal RNA
Source: RNAcentral